Long non-coding RNA from Salmo salar (Atlantic salmon), 1194 nucleotides. RefSeq lists it as uncharacterized. NCBI's taxonomy places the organism in Eukaryota, Metazoa, Chordata, Actinopteri, Salmoniformes, Salmonidae. The record is from RefSeq and is a predicted model, not a curated record.
GGCCAGUUGGUGACAAAUGCUGCAUACUCCAGCAUAUCUCUGUUCGUGUCCCAUCACAACUACCCUGGAGGCCGGGGGGUGCAGGUACUGCAUAAACUAGUACCAUCUACAUCAGAUGUCUGUUCAUAUUGAUGUAUUUGCUGCCCAAACUGGAGUGUCAUAUUUCUUAGAACUGAACAGAAACUGGAGGUAUGACAAGAGAGAAGACAUUGGCCCUGUACACCCUGAUAUGAAGACAUACUCCCAUGUUCUGAUGGAGGCCAAUGCCACCCACAUUGCACUACUCAGACUCCCACGUGCCUUUGGCCUUCAUCCAAGGUUACAGCAACAUGACCUUGAAUGCCUUUCGGUUUCCUUUCUUCAGUAUAAACUUGGGAGACAAACUGGUGUUGCGAGAAAGAGUACCUGACCCAGAGCAUCCAAGUUGAACUGAGGAAAGUGAUGUAGUUUUUCAGGAUUUAGUAUUUUCUUAUGACCAAAUUGUAAAUAACUAAAACUAAAUUGCAGUGUAUUGAGUUCUGUUUUCAAUCACUCUUUUGGGAUAUAAGGUGGUUGGAACCGGAUAUUGGUAGGAUACACUGAUAGGAUCACCUGCUUUGUCAUUUACAUAUAAAAAAAAAAAAGAAGUGUCUAGGCCAGCUUAGAUCUCCAUUCACAUGCAAAGUGUAUACAGCUCUUUCAUUACUUCAACUGAAAAUGUUCCAUAUCCUCCAAUUUUACUCCACCAAACCAGGUAACUGGUUUAAUGUCUAACACUUCCUCCAAACGAAGUGGUCAGUUCAAUAACUGCCAUCCUUCAAAACAGUGCAUUUCUUUUUAUCUGAAAUAAGUUCAAAGAACUCAUUAUGCUAGUUCUCCAUUUAAUGUUUUGUAUGUAUUUAUAGUUUCCUAUAUGAACAAAACAGCUCAUGAGCUUUGGAAUAAAACUGAAGAGGAAAUGCUUGUUGACUUACAAGGAAGUACUUGUGCCACUUGAGGCAAUAUUACAUGCUUUGAGACCACUUUUCAGAAAAGUUACAUUUAAAUGUUGCAAAUAGACAUUCCCUGGUGACUGUUUCUCCAUGUGUGUUUUCCCUACUAAACAUGACCCUGACAUCACACUAAGUGAAACUGGCAGGUAGUGCCUUAACAUUUCUAGUAAGAACAUUUUCUGUUGCCAAACAUUUUGCUAGUGUCCCCUAUCAAACAUGGCAA